GAAUAGGGCGGUACCUUGACGGUACCUAACCAGAAAGCCACGGCUAACUACGUGCCAGCAGCCGCGGUAAUACGUAGGUGGCAAGCGUUGUCCGGAAUUAUUGGGCGUAAAGGGCUCGCAGGCGGUUUCUUAAGUCUGAUGUGAAAGCCCCCGGCUCAACCGGGGAGGGUCAUUGGAAACUGGGGAACUUGAGUGCAGAAGAGGAGAGUGGAAUUCCACGUGUAGCGGUGAAAUGCGUAGAGAUGUGGAGGAACACCAGUGGCGAAGGCGACUCUCUGGUCUGUAACUGACGCUGAGGAGCGAAAGCGUGGGGAGCGAACAGGAUUAGAUACCCUGGUAGUCCACGCCGUAAACGAUGAGUGCUAAGUGUUAGGGGGUUUCCGCCCCUUAGUGCUGCAGCUAACGCAUUAAGCACUCCGCCUGGGGAGUACGGUCGCAAGACUGAAACUCAAAGGAAUUGACGGGGGCCCGCACAAGCGGUGGAGCAUGUGGUUUAAUUCGAAGCAACGCGAAGAACCUUACCAGGUCUUGACAUCCUCUGACAAUCCUAGAGAUAGGACGUCCCCUUCGGGGGCAGAGUGACAGGUGGUGCAUG
RNAcentral lists this ribosomal RNA (595 nucleotides) under Bacillus subtilis. RNAcentral's name for it is "bacterial SSU rRNA". It matches the Rfam family "Bacterial small subunit ribosomal RNA", at positions 448 to 1047 of the family's 1533-position model. The record is from RNAcentral. Lineage: Bacteria; Bacillati; Bacillota; Bacilli; Caryophanales; Bacillaceae.